CCUACGGGAAGCAGCAGUGGGGAAUUUUGGACAAUGGGGGAAACCCUGAUCCAGCCAUUCCGCGUGAGUGAAGAAGGCCUUCGGGUUGUAAAGCUCUUUCGGCAGGAACGAAACGGCGGACUCUAACAUAGUCUGUCAAUGACGGUACCUGAAGAAGAAGCACCGGCUAACUACGUGCCAGCAGCCGCGGUAAUACGUAGGGUGCGAGCGUUAAUCGGAAUUACUGGGCGUAAAGCGUGCGCAGGCGGCUUUGUAAGACGGAUGAGAAAUCCCUGGGCUUAACCGGGGAACUGCGUUCGGGACUGCAAAGCUGGAGUGCGGCAGAGGGGGGUGGAAUUCCUGGUGUAGCAGUAAAAUGCGUAGAGAUCAGGAGGAACACCGAUGGCGAGGGCAGCCCCCGGGGUUGACACUGACGCUCAUGCACGAAAGCGUGGGGAGCAAACAGGAUUAGAUACCCUGGUAGU
Molecule: ribosomal RNA, 464 nt
Filed under: uncultured Rhodocyclaceae bacterium
Lineage: Bacteria; Pseudomonadati; Pseudomonadota; Betaproteobacteria; Rhodocyclales; Rhodocyclaceae
Description: partial 16S ribosomal RNA
Rfam family: Bacterial small subunit ribosomal RNA
Source: RNAcentral